Molecule: long non-coding RNA, 304 nt
Filed under: Elaeis guineensis (African oil palm)
Lineage: Eukaryota; Viridiplantae; Streptophyta; Magnoliopsida; Arecales; Arecaceae
Description: long non-coding RNA (EGUI_LNC041992)
Source: RNAcentral
AAAUAGAAGGAGAAAAAGCCAAAGAUGGAUACUUCAAAGAAGGCUGCAGUCAAAGAAAAGUGUUUCCACUAUAAUGCUAACGACCAUUGAAAGUGGAAUUGUCCAUUAUAUCUGAAAACCCUAAAGUCUAAGAAGGAUGAUACACCUUCAAAAGGUAUGUCUAAUAUGCUCAUUAUUGAAUCUAACUUAAUGAUUUCUUCUACUUCUAGUUGGAUAUUAGACAUUGGCUCAAGUGCUCAUGUAUGUACUUCUAUGUAGAGUUUGAUAGAAAGUAGAAGGUUGAAAGAAGGAGAAAUAGUCCUUC